This 529-nucleotide ribosomal RNA is filed under the name uncultured bacterium. Its description in RNAcentral is "bacterial SSU rRNA". It matches the Rfam family "Bacterial small subunit ribosomal RNA", at positions 777 to 1304 of the family's 1533-position model. The record is from RNAcentral.
AAUAGAUACCCCGGUAGUCCACGCCGUAAACGAUGAGUGCUAAGUGUUAGAGGGUUUCCGCCCUUUAGUGCUGCAGCUAACGCAUUAAGCACUCCGCCUGGGGAGUACGGCCGCAAGGCUGAAACUCAAAGGAAUUGACGGGGGCCCGCACAAGCGGUGGAGCAUGUGGUUUAAUUCGAAGCAACGCGAAGAACCUUACCAGGUCUUGACAUCCUCUGCCAACCCUAGAGAUAGGGCGUUCCCCUUCGGGGGACAGAGUGACAGGUGGUGCAUGGUUGUCGUCAGCUCGUGUCGUGAGAUGUUGGGUUAAGUCCCGCAACGAGCGCAACCCUUGAUCUUAGUUGCCAGCAUUCAGUUGGGCACUCUGAGGUGACUGCCGGUGACAAACCGGAGGAAGGUGGGGAUGACGUCAAAUCAUCAUGCCCCUUAUGACCUGGGCUACACACGUGCUACAAUGGAUGGUACAAAGAGUUGCGAACCCGCGAGGGUAAGCCAAUCUCAUAAAGCCAUUCUCAGUUCGGAUUGUAGG